UUAAGCGACUAAGCGUACACGGUGGAUGCCCUGGCAGUCAGAGGCGAUGAAGGGCGUGCUAAUCUGCGAUAAGCGCCGGUAAGGUGAUAUGAACCGUUAUAACCGGCGAUACCCGAAUGGGGAAACCCAGUGUGAUUCGUCACACUAUCAUUAACUGAAUCCAUAGGUUAAUGAGGCGAACCGGGGGAACUGAAACAUCUAAGUACCCCGAGGAAAAGAAAUCAACCGAGAUUCCCCCAGUAGCGGCGAGCGAACGGGGAGGAGCCCAGAGCCUGAAUCAGCAUGUGUGUUAGUGGAAGCGUCUGGAAAGGCGCGCGAUACAGGGUGACAGCCCCGUACACAAAAGCGCAUGUGCUGUGAGCUCGAUGAGUAGGGCGGGACACGUGGUAUCCUGUCUGAAUAUGGGGGGACCAUCCUCCAAGGCUAAAUACUCCUGACUGACCGAUAGUGAACCAGUACCGUGAGGGAAAGGCGAAAAGAACCCCGGCGAGGGGAGUGAAAAAGAACCUGAAACCGUGUACGUACAAGCAGUGGGAGCACAGGUUUACCUGUGUGACUGCGUACCUUUUGUAUAAUGGGUCAGCGACUUAUAUUCUGUAGCAAGGUUAACCGCAUAGGGGAGCCGGAGGGAAACCGAGUCUUAAUUGGGCGUUAAGUUGCAGGGUAUAGACCCGAAACCCGGUGAUCUAGCCAUGGGCAGGUUGAAGGUUGGGUAACACUAACUGGAGGACCGAACCGACUAAUGUUGAAAAAUUAGCGGAUGACCUGUGGCUGGGGGUGAAAGGCCAAUCAAACCGGGAGAUAGCUGGUUCUCCCGAAAGCUAUUUAGGUAGCGCCUCGUGAAUUCAUCUCCGGGGGUAGAGCACUGUUUCGGCUAGGGGGCCAUCCCGGCUUACCAACCCGAUGCAAACUGCGAAUACCGGAGAAUGUUAUCACGGGAGACACACGGCGGGUGCUAACGUCCGUCGUGAAGAGGGAAACAACCCAGACCGCCAGCUAAGGUCCCAAAGUCAUGGUUAAGUGGGAAACGAUGUGGGAAGGCCCAGACAGCCAGGAUGUUGGCUUAGAAGCAGCCAUCAUUUAAAGAAAGCGUAAUAGCUCACUGGUCGAGUCGGCCUGCGCGGAAGAUGUAACGGGGCUAAACCAUGCACCGAAGCUGCGGCAGCGACACUGUGUGUUGUUGGGUAGGGGAGCGUUCUGUAAGCCUGUGAAGGUGGCCUGUGAGGGUUGCUGGAGGUAUCAGAAGUGCGAAUGCUGACAUAAGUAACGAUAAAGCGGAUGAAAAGCCCGCUCGCCGGAAGACCAAGGGUUCCUGUCCAACGUUAAUCGGGGCAGGGUGAGUCGACCCCUAAGGCGAGGCCGAAAGGCGUAGUCGAUGGGAAACGGGUUAAUAUUCCCGUACUUGGUGUUACUGCGAAGGGGGGACGGAGAAGGCUAUGUUGGCCGGGCGACGGUUGUCCCGGUUUAAGCGUGUAGGUGUGUGUUCCAGGUAAAUCCGGUUCACUUUAACACUGAGGCGUGACGACGAGGCACUACGGUGCUGAAGCAACAAAUGCCCUGCUUCCAGGAAAAGCCUCUAAGCAUCAGGUAACAUCAAAUCGUACCCCAAACCGACACAGGUGGUCAGGUAGAGAAUACCAAGGCGCUUGAGAGAACUCGGGUGAAGGAACUAGGCAAAAUGGUGCCGUAACUUCGGGAGAAGGCACGCUGACACGUAGGUGAAGUGAUUUACUCACGGAGCUGAAGUCAGUCGAAGAUACCAGCUGGCUGCAACUGUUUAUUAAAAACACAGCACUGUGCAAACACGAAAGUGGACGUAUACGGUGUGACGCCUGCCCGGUGCCGGAAGGUUAAUUGAUGGGGUCAGCGCAAGCGAAGCUCCUGAUCGAAGCCCGGUAAACGGCGGCCGUAACUAUAACGGUCCUAAGGUAGCGAAAUUCCUUGUCGGGUAAGUUCCGACCUGCACGAAUGGCGUAAUGAUGGCCAGGCUGUCUCCACCCGAGACUCAGUGAAAUUGAACUCGCUGUGAAGAUGCAGUGUACCCGCGGCAAGACGGAAAGACCCCGUGAACCUUUACUAUAGCUUGACACUGAACAUUGAGCCUUGAUGUGUAGGAUAGGUGGGAGGCUUUGAAGUGUGGACGCCAGUCUGCAUGGAGCCGACCUUGAAAUACCACCCUUUAAUGUUUGAUGUUCUAACGUGGACCCGUAAUCCGGGUUGCGGACAGUGUCUGGUGGGUAGUUUGACUGGGGCGGUCUCCUCCUAAAGAGUAACGGAGGAGCACGAAGGUUGGCUAAUCCUGGUCGGACAUCAGGAGGUUAGUGCAAUGGCAUAAGCCAGCUUGACUGCGAGCGUGACGGCGCGAGCAGGUGCGAAAGCAGGUCAUAGUGAUCCGGUGGUUCUGAAUGGAAGGGCCAUCGCUCAACGGAUAAAAGGUACUCCGGGGAUAACAGGCUGAUACCGCCCAAGAGUUCAUAUCGACGGCGGUGUUUGGCACCUCGAUGUCGGCUCAUCACAUCCUGGGGCUGAAGUAGGUCCCAAGGGUAUGGCUGUUCGCCAUUUAAAGUGGUACGCGAGCUGGGUUUAGAACGUCGUGAGACAGUUCGGUCCCUAUCUGCCGUGGGCGCUGGAGAACUGAGGGGGGCUGCUCCUAGUACGAGAGGACCGGAGUGGACGCAUCACUGGUGUUCGGGUUGUCAUGCCAAUGGCACUGCCCGGUAGCUAAAUGCGGAAGAGAUAAGUGCUGAAAGCAUCUAAGCACGAAACUUGCCCCGAGAUGAGUUCUCCCUGAGACUUAGAGUCUCCUGAAGGAACGUUGAAGACGACGACGUUGAUAGGCCGGGUGUGUAAGCGCAGCGAUGCGUUGAGCUAACCGGUACUAAUGAACCGUGAGGCUUAACCUU
This 2903-nucleotide ribosomal RNA is filed under the name Salmonella enterica subsp. enterica. Its description in RNAcentral is "23S ribosomal RNA". It matches the Rfam family "Bacterial large subunit ribosomal RNA". The record is from RNAcentral. Lineage: Bacteria; Pseudomonadati; Pseudomonadota; Gammaproteobacteria; Enterobacterales; Enterobacteriaceae.